Transfer RNA from Schizosaccharomyces cryophilus OY26, 72 nucleotides. It matches the Rfam family "tRNA". From Rfam's summary of the family: Transfer RNA (tRNA) molecules are approximately 80 nucleotides in length. Their secondary structure includes four short double-helical elements and three loops (D, anti-codon, and T loops). Lineage: Eukaryota; Fungi; Ascomycota; Schizosaccharomycetes; Schizosaccharomycetales; Schizosaccharomycetaceae. The record is from Rfam.
GGUUGUAUGGUGUAGCGGCUAGCACAUGAGAUUUUGAUUCUCGAGAUCUGGGUUCGACUCCCAGUACGACCU